CCUACGGGUGGCAGCAGUGAGGAAUAUUGGUCAAUGGGCGAGAUCCUGAACCAGCCAAGUCGCGUGAGGGAAGACGGCCCUAUGGGUUGUAAACCUCUUUUGUCGGGGAACAAAACCCGGCACGUGUCCCGGUCUGCGUGUAUCCGAAGAAAAAGCAUCGGCUAACUCCGUGCCAGCAGCCGCGGUAAUACGGAGGAUGCGAGCGUUAUCCGGAUUUAUUGGGUUUAAAGGGUUCGUAGGCGGACGGUUAAGUCAGCGGUAAAAUUGCGGGGCUCAACCCCGUCGAGCCGUUGAACCUGGGUGACUUGAGUUGGCGAGAAGUACGCGGAAUGCGCGGUGUAGCGGUGAAAUGCAUAGAUAUCACGCAGAACUCCGAUUGCGAAGGCAGCGUACCGGCGCCCGACUGACGCUGAGGCACGAAAGCGUGGGGAUCGAACAGGAUUAGAUACCCGGGUAGUC
This 459-nucleotide ribosomal RNA is filed under the name uncultured bacterium. Its description in RNAcentral is "partial 16S ribosomal RNA". It matches the Rfam family "Bacterial small subunit ribosomal RNA", at positions 338 to 795 of the family's 1533-position model. The record is from RNAcentral.